RNAcentral lists this ribosomal RNA (253 nucleotides) under uncultured bacterium. RNAcentral's name for it is "partial 16S ribosomal RNA". It matches the Rfam family "Bacterial small subunit ribosomal RNA", at positions 524 to 776 of the family's 1533-position model. The record is from RNAcentral.
UACGGGGGGGGCAAGCGUUGUUCGGAAUUACUGGGCGUAAAGCGCGCGUAGGCGGCUUUUCAAGUCGGGCGUGAAAGCCCCGGGCUUAACCCGGGAAUGGCGCUCGAUACUGUUGAGCUAGAGUGUGGAAGGGGCUACUGGAAUUCCGUGUGUAGCGGUGAAAUGCGUAGAUAUGCGGAGGAACACCGAUGGCGAAGGCAAUCCCCUGGGCCUGCACUGACGCUCAUGCACGAAAGCGUGGGGAGCAAACAGG